This is a long non-coding RNA of Homo sapiens (human), 500 nucleotides long. RefSeq lists it as uncharacterized. NCBI's taxonomy places the organism in Eukaryota, Metazoa, Chordata, Mammalia, Primates, Hominidae. The record is from RefSeq and is a predicted model, not a curated record. The transcript is spliced from 2 exons.
GUUCUUCUAUCAGUGCACACCCAGAGACCCUCCUCUUCCAUGUAAAACUCUCUGCAGGGAGACGGGGUUCUGCAGGCUGGGGAGAGGAGGAGGGGAGUCCCCAGGCAUGUGGGGAGCACAGAAGAGCUGGCAGAAAGCAAAGUGUGACAGAUACUAUGAGCCAAACAUAUGGACAUGCAGAUGUUUCAGCAGGAAUGGAUGGAAGCACAGGAUAAAAUUAAAUAUAGACAUCAAGAUCUAAAUGUAUCAGUGGGUGCACAAAAGGACCCCAGGAGGGGGAAAUGGAGAAAAUUUCAGGUGCUUAUGCCUUCACGCACCCUUUUCUCUGCCAUCCUGCCCUCGUCUUCACUGUCUGCCCACUGAGACCUGGGGUCACUGCUCACUUUCAGACAGGAAAUUGAAAGACCUUUGCAAACACUUGGUCCCAUCCCUCUCAACUUCCAUUUCCUAAUCCCCAAAGGCCAACGUGGAAAUAAAAAGAUGCUUUCAUGUUGAAGGCA